RNAcentral lists this ribosomal RNA (1458 nucleotides) under Lactococcus lactis. RNAcentral describes it as "partial 23S ribosomal RNA". It matches the Rfam family "Bacterial large subunit ribosomal RNA", at positions 1 to 1474 of the family's 2925-position model. Lineage: Bacteria; Bacillati; Bacillota; Bacilli; Lactobacillales; Streptococcaceae. The record is from RNAcentral.
GGCAAAGUUAAUAAGGGCGCACGGUGGAUGCCUUGGCACUAAGAGCCGAUGAAGGACGUGACUAACGACGAUAUUCUAGGGGGAGCAGUAAGUACGCAUUGAUCCCUAGGUCUCCGAAUGGGGAAACCCAGCUGCUACUAGCAGUUAUUCAUGAGUGAAUACAUAGCUCAUGUAAAGGUAACGCAGAGAACUGAAACAUCUAAGUACCUGCAGGAAGAGAAAGUAAAAACGAUUUCGUAAGUAGCGGCGAGCGAACGCGAAGAAGGGCAAACCAAGAAGCUUGCUUCUUGGGGUUGUAGGACUGCAACGUGGACUUAAGCAUUAUAGUCGAAUAACCUGGGAAGGUUAAUCAAAGAGGGUAAUAAUCCCGUAGACGAAAUAGCGCUUAUACCUAGCAGUAUCCUGAGUAGGGCUGGACACGCGAAAUCCAGUUUGAAUCCGGGAGGACCAUCUCCCAACCCUAAAUACUCCUUAGUGACCGAUAGUGAACCAGUACCGUGAGGGAAAGGUGAAAAGAACCCCGAGAGGGGAGUGAAAUAGCACCUGAAACCGUGUGCCUACAAGAAGUUCGAGCCCGUUAAUGGGUGAGAGCGUGCCUUUUGUAGAAUGAACCGGCGAGUUACGUUAUGAUGCGAGGUUAAGUUGAAGAGACGGAGCCGUAGGGAAACCGAGUCUGAAUAGGGCGACUUAGUAUCAUGAUGUAGACCCGAAACCUAGUGACCUAUCCAUGAGCAGGGUGAAGGUGUGGUAAGACGCACUGGAGGCCCGAACCAGGACACGUUGAAAAGUGUUUGGAUGACUUGUGGAUAGCGGAGAAAUUCCAAACGAACUGGGAGAUAGCUGGUUCUCUCCGAAAUAGCUUUAGGGCUAGCGUCGAAAUGUAAGUGUAUUGGAGGUAGAGCACUGUUUGGGUGAGGGGUCCGUCUAGGAUUACCAAUCUCAGAUAAACUCCGAAUGCUAAUACACAUGUUCGGCAGUCAGACUGCGAGUGCUAAGAUCCGUAGUCGAAAGGGAAACAGCCCAGACCAACAGCUAAGGUCCCAAAAUAUAUGUUAAGUGGAAAAGGAUGUGGGGUUGCACAGACAACUAGGAUGUUAGCUCAGAAGCAGCUAUCAUUCAAAGAGUGCGUAAUAGCUCACUAGUCGAGUGACCCUGCGCCGAAAAUGUACCGGGGCUAAACAUAUUACCGAAGCUUUGGAUUGAUAUUUUAUCAAUGGUAGGAGAGCGUUCUUAACCGCGAUGAAGGUAUACCGUGAGGAGUGCUGGAGCGUUAAGAAGUGAGAAUGCCGGUAUGAGUAGCGCAAGAUAAGUGAGAAUCUUAUCCACCGUAAGACUAAGGUUUCCAGGGGAAGGCUCGUCCGCCCUGGGUUAGUCGGGACCUAAGGCGAGGCCGAAAGGCGUAGUCGAUGGACAACUGGUUGAUAUUCCAGUACUAGAUAUGAUCGUGAUGGAGGGACG